Molecule: ribosomal RNA, 650 nt
Filed under: Bacillus altitudinis
Lineage: Bacteria; Bacillati; Bacillota; Bacilli; Caryophanales; Bacillaceae
Description: bacterial SSU rRNA
Rfam family: Bacterial small subunit ribosomal RNA
Source: RNAcentral
CAGCAGUAGGGAAUCUUCCGCAAUGGACGAAAGUCUGACGGAGCAACGCCGCGUGAGUGAUGAAGGUUUUCGGAUCGUAAAGCUCUGUUGUUAGGGAAGAACAAGUGCAAGAGUAACUGCUUGCACCUUGACGGUACCUAACCAGAAAGCCACGGCUAACUACGUGCCAGCAGCCGCGGUAAUACGUAGGUGGCAAGCGUUGUCCGGAAUUAUUGGGCGUAAAGGGCUCGCAGGCGGUUUCUUAAGUCUGAUGUGAAAGCCCCCGGCUCAACCGGGGAGGGUCAUUGGAAACUGGGAAACUUGAGUGCAGAAGAGGAGAGUGGAAUUCCACGUGUAGCGGUGAAAUGCGUAGAGAUGUGGAGGAACACCAGUGGCGAAGGCGACUCUCUGGUCUGUAACUGACGCUGAGGAGCGAAAGCGUGGGGAGCGAACAGGAUUAGAUACCCUGGUAGUCCACGCCGUAAACGAUGAGUGCUAAGUGUUAGGGGGUUUCCGCCCCUUAGUGCUGCAGCUAACGCAUUAAGCACUCCGCCUGGGGAGUACGGUCGCAAGACUGAAACUCAAAGGAAUUGACGGGGGCCCGCACAAGCGGUGGAGCAUGUGGUUUAAUUCGAAGCAACGCGAAGAACCUUACCAGGUCUUGACAUCCU